AGAGUUUGAUCAUGGCUCAGGACGAACGCUGGCGGCGUGCCUAACACAUGCAAGUCGAGCGAUGAAACCCUUCGGGGUGGAUUAGCGGCGGACGGGUGAGUAACACGUGGGUAACCUGCCUUAUAGAGGGGGAUAGCCUUCCGAAAGGAAGAUUAAUACCGCAUAACAUGUUUUUAUCACAUGGUAGAAACAUCAAAGGAGCAAUCCGCUAUAAGAUGGACCCGCGGCGCAUUAGCUAGUUGGUGAGGUAAGGGCUCACCAAGGCGACGAUGCGUAGCCGACCUGAGAGGAUGAACGGCCACACUGGGACUGAGACACGGCCCAGACUCCUACGGGAGGCAGCAGUAGGGAAUCUUCCGCAAUGGACGAAAGUCUGACGGAGCAACGCCGCGUGAGUGAUGAAGGCUUUCGGGUCGUAAAACUCUGUUGUUAGGGAAGAACAAGUGCUAGUUGAAUAAGCUGGCACCUUGACGGUACCUAACCAGAAAGCCACGGCUAACUACGUGCCAGCAGCCGCGGUAAUACGUAGGUGGCAAGCGUUAUCCGGAAUUAUUGGGCGUAAAGCGCGCGCAGGUGGUUUCUUAAGUCUGAUGUGAAAGCCCACGGCUCAACCGUGGAGGGUCAUUGGAAACUGGGAGACUUGAGUGCAGAAGAGGAAAGUGGAAUUCCAUGUGUAGUGGUGAAAUGCGUAGAUAUCGGGAGGAAUACCAGUGGCGAAGGCGGCUUCUUGGCCUGUUCUUGACGCUGAGGCGCGAAAGCUGGGGGAGCAAACGGGAUUAGAUACCCCGGUAGUCCCAGCC
This 800-nucleotide ribosomal RNA is filed under the name uncultured bacterium. RNAcentral's name for it is "bacterial SSU rRNA". It matches the Rfam family "Bacterial small subunit ribosomal RNA", at positions 8 to 801 of the family's 1533-position model. The record is from RNAcentral.